CCCGGAUUACACGUUCCACGGACACACCGACAAAUCCGCCGUAUACAAAGGAAUUUCCCCUGUAUACGAAGCGACAGCUGUACCUGUAAAACAUACAAUACUACAAACAGUAGUAUAGAGCUGCUAGAAGAACUAGUAAAGUAAAAGAAACCGAGUUCCAUAUACAUACACUGAAUCCCAGAGUACAAAGCUACUCGCGCUGGCGAGUUAAAAGUCUGUAUGUACAUGAACCCAAACCAAAACAUCUACCUGCAGUAGGGGUGCAUCUAGCUCUGCUCCUCGGGUAGGGCUCUAACUCGUGACGCCCUUGCCUAGCUCCUGACCAGCAACAGCAGCAGCCAAAGACGAAGGCUCUGCAAAAACGGGAUAACAACUGGACGUGAGAACUACUGUAGAAAUAAGUAGUCCUCAGUAGGUGCCGCCCUCAACAAUCAUCGGUCCACCCAUUAAGUCUACAGAAGGUAACAAGGCUAGCAGGAAAAGCUGGAAAGAAAUCUACAGCUACAUAUCGCUACACUAGCAUGAUCUACACUAACCAACUGUAGUAAAAGUCACAACUGACUCAAUCUCACUAGGGACUGUGAACACACCCGUCCCGCCUGUCGGAUCGAACCCGUAUCCUACUCCAGGAAUAGCUGGUGGAGAAAACUCUCUAGGGACUGUGAAUACACCCGUCCCGCCUAAUUAGGUGACACCGUAGCUCAAGAGUAACUGGCGGAGAAAACUCUCUGGAGACUGUGAAUACACCCGUCCCGUCUACUAGAAUACGUCGUAUUUCAAGAGUAAUCGGCGGAGAAAACUCUCUAAAGACUGUGAAUACACCUGUCUCACCUAAUUAGACUACACCAUACCUCGAGAGUAGUCGGUCCCAGAAAAAGGUCCAACAGGAUGGUUAAGACUCCACUCACGUCACAACCUCACUAAAGGUAGGGAAAAACGUCACUCACUAUCUCACCCGGGCUGCCCAAAACGGACCCACCCUACCUGUAUCUAGCUGCGCCGUACACCACCCCGAGGGUAGCCGGCUCAAGAACUGUCCAACAGAAACUGCGACACUUAUCGCACUGAAACCUCAUUCCCGAAUAGCAUUCACGAGCGCGACCCAACGAGUUUACAAGUAUCUCUGUCAAGUUCAUACCGCUCUCACAGGCUAAGUCAAGUAACCGACCUUAACUGGUCUAACAACGAACAGGUAAAGUGCCCUCGACACAAUCUAACGCUAAAAAGGCGAUACGAGUCCACCGUCAACUCCGACGGCACCCAACAGUCCGGAACAGCCUGAACUCUACUAUAAAAAUACACUCGGCAUCCCAGCACGAGCGUAACUAAAAAUUAAACUACCUGAAAUAUUCACUAUGAGGAUACUGCAACAGUAUAAAAUAAUACAACGGCCCCUAGGCUAAAUCAGGUAGUUUAACAUAUGCCAGGUCCCGAAAGCCGGUUUUCUCCUGUGUCAAAUCCAGGUCCAACAUGUAUAAUUUAUUUAUAAAAAUAGGCUCCAAUUUCAGUUUAGAUGAAAACAACAUUUACAAAUAUGAAACUGAGCUAAAACAAUAGUAAUGUGUAAUACUAACAAUACAUGUUGACCAACAAGACUAUACGAGUAGGAAUCCGAUGAUAAACCCACCUCGAAAGGUAAAUCCAAUCCGGCGCGACGUCGAGAACGGCGGAAACGCACCCUCGUCCAGCCUCCUCGUGAUGCUACGACUGCAACCGUAUCCUCGAACGGCUUUGCGGCGCGACGUCAAUGUCGAAUCCGAGCUCCUCGGCUACCUCUACCCGUGCUCUCCACCAUGCACGUAAUUAACUAGAGAGAACAAAAAAAAAUGCACACUCUCUGUUAAUUUGAAGAGAUAAACAUGAAAAGGGUGGUGGCAUCCUUAUCCAAAAAAAUGACCACUAUGCCCCUAGACCAACUCAAAAUGAAGGGUAUUACAUCCUCCCCCACUAUAAAAAGUUUCGUCCUCGAAACUUAAAACAUAUCUCAAACCUGAGUCUCGAACAAGUAGGGAUAGGACUCCCGCAUCACCAUCUUCGGCUCCCAGGUUGCCUUCCGUUCCUCAUGAUUGCUCCACUACACUUUCACAUACGGGAUGUCCCGGUUGCGCAAUUCUUUCGUCUCCCGAGCAAGAAUCCGCAACGGUCGCUCCUCGUAUCUCAGAUCCUCGCCAAUCUCUAGUGGAGUGAAAUCGAUCACGUGAGAAGGAUCGAAAAUAUAUCUCCUCAAUGCUGAGACGUUGAAGACAUCGUGAAUGCCAGCUAGUCACGGGGGUAGAGCGAUCCUGUAAGCAACUGGUCCAACUCGCUCCAAUACCUCAAAAGGGCCAACAAAGCGUGGACUGAGCUUUCCACGCACUCCAAAUCGGCAAAUCCCUCUGGACGGCGAGACUUUAAGAAAUACAUGAUCUCCAACCUGGAACUCUAAGUCUCGUCUCCUGGUAUCGGCGUAGCUCCUCUGGCGGCACUGGGCUGUCAAAAGGUGUCGUCGAACAACUCUCACCUUUUCCUCAGCCUCUAGCAAAAUCUCAGGCCCAAGUGUCUUCCUCUUACCCACAUCACUCUAAAACAACGGGGAUCGACAUCUGCGUCCAUACAACGCCUCAAACGGAGCUAUCUGGAUGCUCGUUUGAUAGCUGUUGUUGUACGCAAACUCAACCAGUCUCAAAUGUCGAUACCACCCUCCUCCAAAAUCCAGGACACAUGCCCUCAGCAUGUUCUCUAGAGUCUGAAUGGCCCUCUCUGACUGACCAUCUGUCUGUGGGUGGAACGCUGUGCUAAAAUGCAACUGAGUGCCCAAGGCUGUCUGUAGACUCCUCCAAAACUGAGAUACAAACCUCGGGUCUCUGUCUGAUACAAUCGACACUGGCACGCCGUGCAGCCUGACGAUCUCAUCCAGGUAUAGAUGCGCGAGUCUCUCUCUGGACCAGAUGGUCUGAACCGAUAAGAAGUGAGCAGACUUGGUCAGUCUGUCCACUAUCACCCAAAUCGCAUCAAAGCCACCCUGCGCUCUAGGCAAUCUCACGACAAAGUCCACCGUAAUCUUCUCCCACUUUCACUCGACACUGGCAGACUCUGAAGCUUGCCAGCAGGUACCUGAUGCUCGGCCUUCACCUAUUGGCAAGUCAAAUACUGAGCCACAUACCGGCCAAUGCCUCUCUUCAUUCCAUUCCACCAAAACUGUGCCUUCAAGUCCUUAUACAUCUUGGUUUCACUUGGGUGAACCGUAUAAGGAGAACAAUGAGUCUCUCUCAAGAUGUCCUCUUGGAUCCCUAAAUCCACCGGCACACACAGUCGGUCCCUAUACCGCAGUACUCCCGAACUGUCAACAGAAAAACCCUCAGCCUGUCCCCUAUGUAGCUGCUCUCGAAUCCUCGUCAAGUACGGAUCUCCACUCUGUUUCUCUCGGAUCCUAUCCAACAGAGUGGGCUGCAAGACCAGAGACAUUAGUCUCGCAGUAGACCCAGGGGAUAUUAUCUCAAGCCUCAGCCGCUGGAGCUCCUCAAGUAACGGUCUCUGCUCAGUGAUCAUCACACUCAGGCUCUGCACUGACUUCCUGCUCAACGCAUCUGCCACUACAUUCGCCUUACCGGGAUGAUACUGAAUACUAAUGUCAUAGUCCUUCAGUAACUCCAACCACCGGUGCUGCCUCAGGUUCAGCUCCCUCUGUGUGAACAGAUACUUGAGACUUUUAUGAUCCGUAAAAAUCUCGCAGUGCUCGCCGUACAAGUAAUGUCGCCACAACUUCAAAGCAAAGACUACCGCGGCAAGCUCCAAGUCAUGCGUAGGGUAAUUCUUCUCAUAAUCCUUUAACUGCCGUGAUGCAUAAACAAUUACCCUACCAUGCUGCAUCAACACACAACCCAGUCCACUGUGCGAUGCAUCAUUGUAGAUCACAAAUCCUUCCCCCAUCACAGGAAGGGCAAGGAUAGGAGCUGACGUCAACCUUUGUCGCAACUCAUCAAAGCUCCUCUGACAAUCCUCACUCUAGAUGAAUCUAAUCCCCUUUCGCGUCAAUCGAGUGAGGGGUGUGGAAAGCUUCGCAAAGCCUUCCACAAACCGACGGUAAUAUUCUGCUAAUCCAAGGAAACUCCUCACCUCUGUCACCGUCACCGAUCUGGGCCAACCCCGAAUAACAUCAAUCUUCUUCGGGUCCACUGCUACUCCCUCUGCUGAUAUCACAUGGCCCAAGAAAGCAACCUCUCGUAACCAGAACUCGAACUUCUUCAACUUGGCAUACAACUUCUUCUCUCGCAGAAGUUGUAGCACAAUUCUCAAGUGCUCCUCAUGCUCAGCAUCACUCCGGGAGUAAAUCAGGAUAUCGUCGGUAAAGACUACCACAAAUCUAUCCAAGAACGACUUAAACACUCUGUUCAUCAAAUCCAUGAAUGCUGCAGGGGCAUUCGUCAAUCCAAAAGGCAUCACCGUUAACUCAUAAUGCCCGUACCGAGUCCGAAAAGCCGUCUUGGGAACAUCCUCGGCCCUUACCCUCAAUUGGUGGUAACCUGACUGGAGAUCAAUCUUCGAAAAGACAUAAGAUCCCUGCAGCUGAUUAAACAGAUCAUCAAUGCGCGGCAAGGGAUACUUAUUCUUGAUGGUCACUUUAUUCAGCUCCCGGUAGUCCACACACAGCCUAAGUAAACCAUCAUUCUUCUUCACAAACAACACCGGCGCUCCCCAAGGCGAAACAUUGGGUCUCACAAACCCUCUAUCCAUCAAAUCCUGAAGCUGUGCCUUUAGCUCUCUCAGCUCUGCUGGCGCAAUCCGAUAAGGUACCUUUGAGAUUGGUGCAGUUCCAGGAACUACAUCAAUCACAAACUCAAUCUCCCUCUCCGGCGGCAACGUCGUCAACUCAGGAGGAAACACAUCUAGAAACUCAUGGACUAUAGGGAUAUCCUCGAGUCCCGGCGCCGCCGUAGGUACCUCCACAACUGCCGCUAAGAAAGCGAUACACCCACUACUCAGCAUCUGUCGAGCUCUCGCCGAAGAUAUCCAGGUGGCAAACAACGUACUACUACAGCCUCUGAAAGUGAACUCCUUCUGGCUUGGCUCGCGGAAUGUCACCGUCCUCGCUCCACAAUCGAUCGUAGCAUAGUACCGCGUCAACCAAUCCAUACCGAGCACGAUGUCAAAGCCCUGCAGCUGCCCUAACACCAACAGGUCUGCGGCAUAAACCACGAAUCUAACUGCACCGGACACGACCAACAACACUCCGCAGUCUGUAACACAUGGUCGGGGAUCUGCACCUCUCGUGUCAAAGACAACGACCCUAACUCUAGACCAUAUAACAGUGCAAAUACUUGGCUAACAAAAGAAUGCGAGGCACCGGUAUCAACUAAAGUACGACUACAUAUGCCAAAAAUCAAAAUGAUACCUGCCACCAUACGGUCGGCUGCUGAAGAGUCCUCCCGAUGGUAACUCGGUAGUACUCCAAAAGUCUGCUGGUCAGCUGGCUGCGCUGAUGCAAUGGAUAGUGCUGGAAAUGUCGCUCUAGGACACGCUGACCUCACAUGUCCUGGCUGUCCACAAGUGUAGCAGCGACCCUCUUUCUGCUCACAUUGUCGGGGCCAGUGUGGUCCUCCAUAAAUCACGCACCGCAGCGUCCUCGGUGACGGUCCCUGCUGAAGCAAUCCCCUGGAAAGCUGACGCCCCGAUGAACCACGACCCUAAGAGCAAGAUCGAGAAAGCCUCAGCGGACGUCUGCUACUCGCCUGUCCUCCAUCAUCUGGAAAAGGGCGCUUCCUGUCUUGGCUCUGCCCCGGUGCCAUAGUCCGCUCCUAGAUGGGUGUAACUCCGUGUCCCACCAAGAGUACCUGCUGCACAGAUGCUCCUGUCUCAACUCCUGACCACUGAGUGAUAAUCUCAUAAAUUCUCUGCAAUAGUACACUCUGCUGCUUGAUCACUGUCAGGGCAGCCAACUGCUCUCUCAAAUCAGGGGGUACACUUGCCUCCGGUCGUGCACUCGGCUCUGCCUGGUCGGGCAUCUCUAGCGGUGCGACUUGAUCCCUGGUCGACGGUCAACCUCGGCAGCAAUCAGAACGAAACAAAACGGGGUCAAAUACAACUCAAACACUCUCGACCCAAUCAAUGAAAGUCUAGAAAGCAACCCCUGUUUUCCUCUAAAAUUAUGUCGUCUGCAGUCAACAUAAUUUCUCAGGCCAAAACAGGUACUCCUUCAAUCACUCACCCCACUCUCGGAGGAGUUAGAACAACUAAUCAUUGACUUUCGCAAUUAGAUUACGCCUCUCACUUCUUGCUUUCCUAAGGUUUGCCAAACUUAGGUUCUCUAGGUCCCAACGACCGAAUGCUAAACUCUGAUACCAACUUAAUCUGUCACGCCCCGGAUUACAGUUCCCCGGACACGCCGACAAAUCCGCCGUAUACAAAGGAAUUUUCCCUGUAUACGAAGCGACAGUUGUACCUGUAAAACAUACAAUACUACAAACAGUAAUAUAGAGCUGCUAGAAGAACUAGUAAAGUAAAAGAAACCGAGUUCCAUAUACAUACACUGAAUCCCAGAGUACAAAGCUACUCGCGCUGGCGAGUUAAAAGUCUGUAUGUACAUGAACCCAAACCAAAACAUCUACCUGCAGUAGGGGUGCAUCUAGCUCUGCUCCUCGGGUAGGGCUCUAACUCGUGAUGCCCUUGCCUAGCUCCUGACCAGCAACAGCAGCAGCCGAAGACGAAGGCUCUGCAAAAACGGGAUAACAACUGGACGUGAGAACUACUGUAGAAACAAGUAGUCCUCAGUGGGUGCCGCCCUCAACAAUCAUCGGUCCAGCCACUAAGUCUACAGAAGGUAACAAGGCUAACAGGAAAAGCUGGAAAGAAAUCUACAGCUACAUAUCGCUACACUAGCAUGAUCUACACUAAACAACUGUAGUAAAAGUCAAAACUGACUCAAUUUCACUAGGAACUGUGAACACACCCGUCCCGCCUGCCGGAUCGAACCCGUAUCCUACUCCAGGAAUAGCUGGUGGAGAAAACUCUCUAGGGACUGUGAAUACACCCGUCCCGCCUAAUUAGGUGACACCGUAGCUCAAGAAUAACCGGCGGAGAAAACUCUCUGGAGACUGUGAAUACACCCGUCUCGUCUACUAGAAUACGCCGUAUCUCAAGAGUAAUCGGCGGAGAAAACUCUCUAAAGACUGUGAAUACACCCGUCUCACCUAAUUAGACUACACCAUACCUCGAGAGUAGUCGGUCCCAGAAAAAGGUCCAACAUGAUGGUUAAGACUCCACUCACGUCACAACCUCACUAAAGGUAGAGAAAAACGUCACUCACUAUCUCACCCGGGCUACCCAAAACGGACCCACCCUGCCUGUAUCUAGCUGCGCCGUACACCACCCCGAGGGUAACCGGCUCAAGAACUGUCGAACAGAAACUGCGACACUCAUCGCACUGAAACCUCAUUCCGGAAUGGCAUUCGCGGGCGCGACCCAACGAGUUUAUAAGUAUCUCUGUCAAGUUCAUACCGCUCUCACAGGCUAAGUCAAGUAACCGACUCUAACUGGUCUAACAACCAACAGGUAAAGUGCCCUCGGCACAAUCUAACGCCAAAAAGGCGAUACGAGUCUACCGUCAACUCCGACGGCACCCAACAGUCCGAAAUAGCCUGAACGCUACUAUAAAAAUACACUCGGCAUCCCAGCACGAGCGUAACUAAAAAUUAAACUACCUGGAAUACUCACUAUGAGGAUACUGCAACAGUAUAAAAUAAUACAACGGUCCCUAGGCUAAAUCAGGUAGUUUAACAUAUGCCAGGUCCCGAACACGGGUUUUCUCCUAUGUCAAAUUCAGAUCCAAUAUGUAUAAUUUAUUUAUAAAAAUAGGCUCCAAUUUCAGUUUAGAUGAAAACAACAUUUACAAAUAUGAAACUGAGCUAAAACAAUAGUAAUGUGUAAUACUAACUAUACAUGUCGACAAACAAGACUAUAUGAGUAGGAAUCCGAUGAUAAACUCACCUCGAAAGCUAAAUCCAAUCUGGCGCGACGUCGAGAAUGGCGGAAACGCACCCUCGUCCAGCCUCCUCAUGAUGCUACGACUGCAACCGUAUCCUCGAACGGCUUUGCGGCGCGACGUCGAUGUCGAAUCCGAGCUCCUCGGCUACCUCUAUCCGUGCUCUCCACCAUGCACGUAAUUAACUAGAGAGAACAAAAAAAAAUGCACACUCU
RNAcentral lists this long non-coding RNA (8172 nucleotides) under Ananas comosus (pineapple). Its description in RNAcentral is "long non-coding RNA (ACOM_LNC019581)". Lineage: Eukaryota; Viridiplantae; Streptophyta; Magnoliopsida; Poales; Bromeliaceae. The record is from RNAcentral.